AAGAGACAGCAGUAGCCACGGUAAUACGUAGGGCGCAAGCGUUAUCCGGAAUUAUUGGGCGUAAAGAGCUCGUAGGCGGUUUGUCGCGUCUGCCGUGAAAGUCCGGGGCUCAACCCCGGAUCUGCGGUGGGUACGGGCAGACUAGAGUGAUGUAGGGGAGACUGGAAUUCCUGGUGUAGCGGUGAAAUGCGCAGAUAUCAGGAGGAACACCGAUGGCGAAGGCAGGUCUCUGGGCAUUAACUGACGCUGAGGAGCGAAAGCAUGGGGAGCGAACAGGAUUAGAUACCCCGGUAGUCCCUGUCUCUUAUAC
Molecule: ribosomal RNA, 310 nt
Filed under: uncultured bacterium
Lineage: Bacteria
Description: partial 16S ribosomal RNA
Rfam family: Bacterial small subunit ribosomal RNA
Source: RNAcentral